This 418-nucleotide ribosomal RNA is filed under the name uncultured Peptoniphilus sp. Its description in RNAcentral is "bacterial SSU rRNA". It matches the Rfam family "Bacterial small subunit ribosomal RNA", at positions 71 to 502 of the family's 1533-position model. The record is from RNAcentral. Lineage: Bacteria; Bacillati; Bacillota; Tissierellia; Tissierellales; Peptoniphilaceae.
ACCCUUCGGGGCGAAGAUAGAGCGGAUUAGCGGCGGACGGGUGAGUAACACGUGAGUAACCUGCCUUAGACAUUGGGAUAGCCUCGGGAAACCGGGAUUAAUACCAAAUAAAAUCAUAAUGACACAUGUCAUAACGAUCAAAACUCCGGUGGUCUAAGAUGGACUCGCGUCCCAUUAGCUAGUUGGUAGAGUAAAAGCCUACCAAGGCGACGAUGGGUAGCCGGCCUGAGAGGGUGAACGGCCACAUUGGAACUGAGAAACGGUCCAAACUCCUACGGGAGGCAGCAGUGGGGAAUAUUGCACAAUGGAGGGAACUCUGAUGCAGCGACGCCGCGUGAACGAAGAAGGCUUUCGAGUCGUAAAGUUCUUUUAUAUGGGAAGAUAAUGACGGUACCAUAAGAAAAAGCCCCGGCUAACU